CUCUGACCACAAAUGUCAAUGACUUUGAGCCCUUGUAAUUUUUAGGGUGUUGGAUUGAAUCCUGGUUUGUCAGCACAACCUUGCUGUCGACUUGGACUUUUUAAUCUAGAAAAGAGAUUACUGAAGAAGGGAAAGGUGAUAGGUAGGAGAAAGAUUUGUGAAAAUCAUGAAGAAGGUAGUUGGGAAGUGGUUGUUCGGUAUGCCUCCUAAAAGAGCAAUUGAGAGCACUGAACGGAAAAUCUGGGGGCAGGUUCAAAGCAAACAAAAGGAGGUGGCUGUUCACAAGCAGGCGGUGAAGCUAUGAAACUCCAUGCACAGGAUCUUGUUCGCAUGGAUUCAAAACCAUGAGGAAAUGGUGGAAGUUGGCUCUAGCACAUUUCAACAACGUUACUCAGCCAAGCAUAAGAAUAAGAGAGCAGAAUGGAAAAAAGAAAGAAAAGAAACACAGCGGUCUUUGGAACAUUUACUUUUUGCCAGGAUUUGAGGUACUUUCAGUUUAGGAACAUUUUCCAGCUUCCCUAUUAAAAAACCUUUUCUUAGCUAUAAAUAGUGUUAGUUAGGCAGCAGUGAGUGGCAAGUGAAAUUUCAUUUGAUAACAAAAUUUCCAAAUCGGAGAUCUCUGCUCUUUCAGCACGUGUAUAGCCAUGAACAAUGAGGUCUUAUCUUUCAAGGAGAUGAGAUCUUUGAAUUGAAUUCUCAGAGAGAUGUCUUUGGCAGUGUGUUCUUCUGGUCUCUCUCCCUCACUGCACAGGAGUUGUGAAAAGAAUGAAGUUGUAUAUUGUAGUGGAAGGACCAGACUCUUGCUGUUCUAACCGAGCAUGUGGAGGCUAGUGGGGAAUUAUUCUUUGUUUUUCUUCCUUAUCUCCAGUUUUCUCCAUGUGAUCCUAGGUGAGAGACAAUGUUCCAGAUUCUCAGCUGGUAGAAAUGCAUCCACUGUGGCCUAAGGAAUAAGUGGCAUUCCCACUUUUGGUUGUUACGGUGAAAGACUGAAUAAAAACGCUGAGGAUGGCUGAGGCA
RNAcentral lists this long non-coding RNA (1017 nucleotides) under Struthio camelus australis. RNAcentral describes it as "lncRNA (ENSSCUG00000016206.1)". Lineage: Eukaryota; Metazoa; Chordata; Aves; Struthioniformes; Struthionidae. The record is from RNAcentral.